This 1890-nucleotide ribosomal RNA is filed under the name Triticum aestivum (bread wheat). RNAcentral describes it as "partial small subunit ribosomal RNA". Lineage: Eukaryota; Viridiplantae; Streptophyta; Magnoliopsida; Poales; Poaceae. The record is from RNAcentral.
AUGAGUUGUACCUCUGCUGUUAAGAAUCUCUCAUGGUGGUAUAAUGGCACCACUUUUUCUGACGAAAUGCGCAUUCUGGACUUGGGAGGUUAUGAUGCAGUGUUGGGCAUGGAUUGGUUGAAGAAAUUCAGUCCUAUGGUCUCUGAUUGGGCAAACAAGCGACUGAUAGCACCCAAAGAUGGACAAUGGAUCACUCUGCAAGGUAUGCAACUUGGGGUUCAGUCUGAAUUGUUGGAGAUCAGUCCUGAACAAUUGGACAAGUGCAUCUCAGGCAAUGAUGUAUGGGCUCUUGCAAUACUAGAAUCAGUGAUGCCACCUGAUGUUGCUUCUAAGCCAACGGCCAUUGCUCCUGAUCUACAAGCAUUACUAUCUGAAUAUGGUGAUAUCUUUCAAGAGCCGAAGAACUUACCUCCACACCGCGCAUUGGAUCAUGCUAUCACUCUUGAGCAAGGUAUACCCCCAGUCAAUGCUCGUCCCUAUCGCUAUUCUCCUUUGCACAAGGACGAGAUUGAGCGCCAGGUCGCUGAAAUGUUAUCAUCUGGAGUUGUUGUGCCCAGCAUGAGUCCAUAUGCGUCUCCGGUCCUGUUAGUCAAAAAAAAGGAUGGCCAAUGGCGUUUCUGCGUAGAUUAUCGCAGAUUGAACAGCAUCACCAUAAAGAAUAAAUUUCCUUUACCAAUUGUGGAUGAAUUGGUGGAUGAACUUGCCGGCACUAAGUUCUUCUCUAAGCUCGAUCUGCGGGCAGGUUAUCAUCAGAUUCGAAUGAGAGAGGAUGAUGAACCCAAGACGGCCUUCAAAACACAUCAUGGGCAUUUUCAGUUUCGAGUAAUGCCCUUUGGCCUUACCAAUGCACCGGCCACAUUCCAGUGUGUGAUGAAUUCGGUAUUUUCUCAGUACCUUCGCAAAUUUGUGAUUGUCUUCUUAGAUGAUAUCCUCGUGUACAGUGCUUCCUGGGAAGAGCAUCUUCAACACCUUCGGCAAGUCCUGGAGCUUUUGCGACACAAUCAGUUUUUUGCCAAGCUAUCUAAGUGCUCUUUUGGUCAAACAAGCAUCAAUUACCUGGGCCAUAUUAUUUCGGACAUGGGUGUCGCCACCGACCCUGAAAAGACAAGUGCUAUGGAGAAAUGGCCUGUGCCAACAAAUGUUUCUGAACUGCGAGGUUUUCUUGGACUCACAGGCUACUACAGAAAAUUUGUACCAAGGUAUAGUUGGAUCACUAAAUCUCUUACACGGUUACUUACCAAGAAGGGUUUUUAUUGGAAUGAGCAGGCACAGCAAGCUUUUGAUACUCUGAAACAGGCCAUGGUUAACACACCUGUGUUGGCCUUGCCGGAUUUUCAAGUUCCCUUUGCUGUCGAAACAGACGCUUGUGCUACUGGGAUCGGUGCAGUCCUCAUGCAGCAAGGGCAUCCGAUAGCAUAUUUGAGCAAAGCUCUUGGUGUCCAAGAUAGCAAGUUAUCCAUCUACGAGAAAGAAUUUCUUGCAGUCAUUAUGGCCAUUGAUCACUGGCGCACCUAUUUGCAGCGAGGGCCUUUUGUUAUUUUCACUGACCACAAAUCCUUGUGUGCGUUGGGUGAUCAACAGCUGGGUACUGAGUUACAGCACAAAGCGAUGUCGAAGCUAGUGGGCUUACAAUUUGAAUUUCGCUACAAGCGGGGUGUGGAUAAUAGUGCUGCGGAUUCCUUGUACAGGGUUGGCCAUCUUCUUAACUGUCAAGCCCUUACUUUGUGUCAACCUGAUUGGCUGUUAGAGGUCCUGCAUACUUAUGAUAUGGAUAGUACUGCUCAGGAUCUUCUCAGUCACUUGGCUAUUCUAUCACCCGAUAACAAGGGCUAUGCUUUGACAAUGGUCUCAUUAAGUACAAGGGUCGAUUGUACAUUGAUGCCAGCUUAG